GAUGCAACGCGAAGAACCUUACCAAGGCUUGACAUGAACCGGAAAGGCGUAGAAAUACGUCCCCCACUUGUGGUCGGUUUACAGGUGGUGCAUGGUUGUCGUCAGCUCGUGUCGUGAGAUGUUGGGUUAAGUCCCGCAACGAGCGCAACCCUCGUUCUAUGUUGCCAGCACGUGAUGGUGGGGACUCAUAGGAGACUGCCGGGGUCAACUCGGAGGAAGGUGGGGAUGACGUCAAAUCAUCAUGCCCCUUAUGUCUUGGGCUUCACGCAUGCUACAAUGGCCGGUACAAAGGGUUGCGAUACUGUGAGGUGGAGCUAAUCCCAAAAAGCCGGUCUCAGUUCGGAUUGGGGUCUGCAACUCGACCCCAUGAAGUCGGAGUCGCUAGUAAUCGCAGAUCAGCAACGCUGCGGUGAAUACGUUCCCGGGCCUUGUACACACCGCCCGUCAAGUCACGAAAGUUGGUAACACCCGAAGCCGGUGGCCUAACCCC
RNAcentral lists this ribosomal RNA (490 nucleotides) under uncultured Arthrobacter sp. RNAcentral describes it as "bacterial SSU rRNA". It matches the Rfam family "Bacterial small subunit ribosomal RNA", at positions 953 to 1442 of the family's 1533-position model. The record is from RNAcentral. Lineage: Bacteria; Bacillati; Actinomycetota; Actinomycetes; Micrococcales; Micrococcaceae.